AAUAAAAAAUAAAAAAAAAAAAUUAUUUACAAACAGUUUAUAAGUAAUUUUUAACUGAAAAAUUAAUUAUAACUAUCUUCUUAAAAUAAUUCUGGUCAAAUAACACUCUCUCUCUCUUCUCAUUUAUUCCAAGAUCCCUCUCUCUUGACAGUUUUUUUUUUUUUUUUUUUUUUGCUUUGCUUCUAGUAGAGGAAGCUCCAAAUAGCAGAUGGAUUUCCAUAUGUUGCCCUUGUUCUUUGCGGCUAGUUUUUGUUUGUAGGAGAAGAGAUGAAAUGCUUCAAUAACCAUGAAUUCUCUUAAACUAUCUCUUCUAUGUGCCACUACCCUAAUUAUUACACUUAUCCAUCUUCUCUCUCCAGUUAUUUGCUCCAAUCAAAACCAACCUUCAGACACGACUCGGGGUUUACUAUUUGAAGGGAAGACCAGAUUGGGUUCAACACCUCCCAGUUGCCACAACAAGUGCAACCAGUGUCACCCCUGUCUCGCGGUCCAAGUACCAACCCUGCCUCUGCCUACGGCCUAUCUUGACUCUUCAUCUUCAAUAUCUUCGGCAUCUUCAUCUUAUUCUUCAAAUAACAACAAGUAUUCUAAUUACAAGCCUCUUGGUUGGAAAUGCAGAUGUGGUGACCACUUCUUCAACCCUUAGCCUUAGGAUAUGACAAUCUUCAAUUAAUCAUUUUUCAUUCCCUUAAUUAUUCAAGAUUUGUAUGAUUGAGAUAUUUCUAUAUAUGGGUUUUGGUUUUUAUCAUCAAUAGUAUAGUGGGGUCUUGUAAUUUUUAUUAUUUUUUUUGUUCAUAUGUUUGGAGUUAUGUAGGUUGAAUAUUGGAAAAAUUAUAAAUCAGUGGAAAGAUCUUUAGUACAA
This is a non-coding RNA of Camellia sinensis, 862 nucleotides long. The record is from RefSeq and is a predicted model, not a curated record. Lineage: Eukaryota; Viridiplantae; Streptophyta; Magnoliopsida; Ericales; Theaceae.